AGAAUCAACGCUGGCGGCGUGCCUAACACAUGCAAGUCGCACGAGAAAGGGGAGCAAUCCCUGAGUAAAGUGGCGCACGGGUGAGUAACACGUGAAUAAUCUACCUCCGAGUGGGGAAUAACUGAGAGAAAUCUUAGCUAAUACCGCAUAACACUUACGAGUCAAAGCAGCAAUGCGCUUGGAGAGGAGUUCGCUGCCGAUUAGCUAGUUGGCGGGGUAAUGGCCCACCAAGGCGAUGAUCGGUA
RNAcentral lists this ribosomal RNA (245 nucleotides) under uncultured bacterium. RNAcentral describes it as "partial small subunit ribosomal RNA". It matches the Rfam family "Bacterial small subunit ribosomal RNA", at positions 26 to 285 of the family's 1533-position model. The record is from RNAcentral.